Molecule: ribosomal RNA, 1329 nt
Filed under: human gut metagenome
Description: bacterial LSU rRNA
Rfam family: Bacterial large subunit ribosomal RNA
Source: RNAcentral
AUGAGGUGUGGAUAGCGGAGAAAUUCCAAUCGAACCCGGAGAUAGCUGGUUCUCCCCGAAAUAGCUUUAGGGCUAGCGUCGAGGUAGAGAGUUGCGUGAAGGUAGAGCACUGAAUAUGUGAUGGCCCCAUCUCGGGGUACUGAACAUAAUCAAACUGCGAAUGUCACGAAGACAAGCCCGGCAGUCAGACAGCGGGUGAUAAGGUCCGUUGUCAAGAGGGAAACAGCCCAGACCCACAGCUAAGGUCCCAAAAUGUAUGCUAAGUGGAAAAGGAUGUGGAGAUGUACAGACAACUAGGAGGUUGGCUCAGAAGCAGCCAUCCUUUAAAGAGUGCGUAACAGCUCACUAGUCGAAUGACUCUGCGCCGAUAAUUUACCGGGGCUAAGCAUACUACCGAAGCUAUGGAUCCCAAGGGAUGGUAGGGGAGCGUUCCAUGAACGGAGAAGUACGACCGAAAGGACGUGUGGAGAUCAUGGAAGAGAGAAUGCCGGUGUGAGUAGCGGAACGUGGGUGAGAAUCCCACGCACCGAAAACCCAAGGUUUCCAGAGGAAGGUUCGUCCGCUCUGGGUAAGUCGGGACCUAAGGCGAGGCCGAAAGGCGUAGUCGAUGGAGGACAGGUUAAUAUUCCUGUACCACCUUGUUGGAGUGAUGGAGGGACGCAGUAAGUCAGGUGAGCCAACUGCUGAAUAUGUUGGUCGAAGGCCGUAGGGCGCACGAUAGGCAAAUCCGUCGUGCUUUCAACCCGAGAGUCGUAAGGUAGCCGAACGCAAGUUUGGCGAAUUCACUGUGACGACGCUGACGAGAAAAGCUUCUAAACGUUGAAAACAGGGUGCCCGUACCGAAACCGACACAGGUAGGUGAGGCGAGUAGCCUAAGGUGCGCGAGAGAAACCAACGUUAAGGAACUCGGCAAAUUGACCCCGUAACUUAGGGAUAAGGGGUGCCGCUUCAGGUGAAGGGACUUGCUCCCGGAGCCCAGAGCGGUUGCAACAAAGAGGCUGGUGCGACUGUUUAACAAAAACACAGCUCUAUGCUAACUCGCAAGAGGAUGUAUAUGGAGUGACACGUGACCAAUGCCAAAAGGUCAAUGGGAGAGGUUAGCGCAAGCGAAGCUUCGAUCUGAAGCCCUGGUGAAUGUCGGCCGUAACUAUAACGGUCCUAAGGUAGCGAAAUUCCUUGUCGGGUAAGUUCCGACCUGCACGAAUCGUGUAACGAUGCCAGCACUGUCUCAACGUGGAUCUCGGCGAAGUUGUAAUUCCGGUGAAAAUGCCGGAUACCUGCGGAAGGACGGGAAGACCCCAUGAACCUUUACUGUAAUCUGAUAUUGGU